Schistocerca gregaria is the source of this 109-nucleotide small nuclear RNA. The record is from RefSeq and is a predicted model, not a curated record. NCBI's taxonomy places the organism in Eukaryota, Metazoa, Arthropoda, Insecta, Orthoptera, Acrididae.
GUGUUAUCGCUUUGGCGGCACAUCUACUAAAAUUGGAGCGGUACAGAAAAGAUCAGCGUGACCCCUGCGGAAGGAUGACACAGGUUCAUUUGUACCACAUACAAAUCUU